GUUCGCCGACGCCCAUACACUGUCGUCCUUUUUGACGAGAUAGAGAAGGCCCAUCCCGAUGUCUUCAACAUGAUGCUCCAGAUUCUUGAAGAUGGCAGGUUGACUGACAGCAAGGGGCGCACAGUCGAUUUCAAGAACACCCUUCUGAUCAUGACAUCCAACGUCGGAAGCAGUGUGAUUGAGAAAGGCGGGCGUAGAAUCGGGUUCGAUCUCGACUACGACGAGAAAGACAGCAGCUACAACAGAAUCAAGAGCUUGGUGACGGAAGAGCUGAAACAGUACUUCAGGCCUGAGUUUUUGAACAGACUGGAUGAAAUGAUUGUCUUCAGGCAGCUGACAAAGCUGGAGGUGAAGGACAUUGCCGAUAUCAUGCUGAAGGAGGUCUUCGAGAGGCUGAAGGUGAAGGAGAUAGAGCUUCAGGUCACCGAGAGGUUCAGAGAUAGGGUCGUCGAUGAAGGCUACAGUCCUAGUUACGGAGCGAGGCCCCUGAGGAGAGCGAUUAUGAGGCUUCUGGAAGACAGUUUGGCCGAGAAGAUGCUUGCUGGAGAGAUCAAGGAGGGGGACUCAGCGAUCGUCGACGUUGAUGCUGAUGGAAAUGUGACAGUUCUCAAUGGUGAGAGCGGGAUGCCAGGAGUAUUACCCCCGGCUGUUACUGUAUAACAGGUUUCACUCGAUAUAUCUAGGCGCUAGACUCGACUUGUAUCGUCAUGGAUUGUAGCCUUAACUAUUUCCGGUGGCUGCCAGGUGAUUAAUUGGUUAUUUUGUUGUAAUAUGCGGCCUGCAGGAAAUGCACCUCAUGCACAUACAAGCUAGAAGAACUAGAAGAACAGAUGCUAUUGUUGUGUAUUUUAAUUAU
Molecule: unclassified non-coding RNA, 856 nt
Filed under: Hevea brasiliensis (rubber tree)
Lineage: Eukaryota; Viridiplantae; Streptophyta; Magnoliopsida; Malpighiales; Euphorbiaceae
Source: RNAcentral